This 1008-nucleotide long non-coding RNA is filed under the name Heterocephalus glaber (naked mole-rat). RNAcentral's name for it is "lncRNA (ENSHGLG00100028014.2)". The record is from RNAcentral. Lineage: Eukaryota; Metazoa; Chordata; Mammalia; Rodentia; Bathyergidae.
UGCAACCAGCCCUAAAUCAAAAAAGCUGACUUCUCCCAGGAGUUUAAAGCCCUGUCUCACACAUUAAAUUGUAAUUUGCAGGCAAGUCUGGGCUCAGAAAUCCUCCAAUAAAGCAGAUGAAUAAUCAACAUGAAUUGGAUAGAAAGAGUCUCUCUCUGCCUUUCACUUGCCCUUAUCACUUUGCACACAAACAGCACCCUGGAUGAUGUCUACAAGAUGAUAAGACCACAAAAGGAUUCAACUGGAUCAGAAAAUUUCAUUAUUCAGAAACAAGAUGGUCCAAAUUGGGUAGUUUGAGUAAGAAGGCAAACAGCUGACUGCAUAAAGGACCUGUGAGGUCACCAGUUCUGGAUUUUACCAGGCAACAGUAAUGGAGUGACCUAGAGGAUCUUCUCUCUAAUGUUAGCUCUCUGUGGAGACAGUCACUCAACCAAAUCCCCAACCGGAUUAAAGGUUGGUGUAGACCAUGGAUUUCUCUUGCAGAGAACAGCUGAGACAUUGAAAAGCACUUGACGCUGACAUCGGACACUGAAAAGCAAAACCCCUCGAUUUGGGAGUCUCUAAUUCCAUUCUUCUCUUCAAGCCAAGCAGCUACACUGAGCUUGAUCCAUGAGAAAUCUCACCACUGUGGCUGAGCACAUGCUUCAGAGAGCACCUGAGCUGACAUCACUCCCCUGCCCUUUCUCAGAUUCUAUUUUCUUACUCGUCUAGGGACUGUGGGCCUGAUUGUUCUAAUCCAAAUGGAUGUCCAACACUAAACACAUUCUCUUCCCUUCUCUCUCUUUAACCCAACCCUCAAUUUCUCUGGGUUCCAUGGCCACUAACUAACCUCACAGAACUAAAGAGAAAUGGCGCAGUCAUAAGUGAGCAGUCACCUUCUCCCUCCUCCCAGUCCUCUGGGAGUCUCUGAAGUCUCUGUCCCCACUGACACUUUCACUCUGUAUGUAAAAUUAUACUUAAGAAUCUUAUUAAUGAGAGCAUAAGUAUUUUUUCUUUUAUGCUUUGGGU